GGAAGUAAAAGUCGUAACAAGGUCUCCGUAGGUGAACCAGCGGAGGGAUCAUU
RNAcentral lists this ribosomal RNA (53 nucleotides) under Colletotrichum gloeosporioides. RNAcentral's name for it is "partial 18S ribosomal RNA". It matches the Rfam family "Eukaryotic small subunit ribosomal RNA", at positions 1778 to 1830 of the family's 1831-position model. Lineage: Eukaryota; Fungi; Ascomycota; Sordariomycetes; Glomerellales; Glomerellaceae. The record is from RNAcentral.